GGGUUGUGAGGUUAAGCGACUAAGCGUACACGGUGGAUGCCCUGGCAGUCAGAGGCGAUGAAGGACGUGCUAAUCUGCGAUAAGCGUCGGUAAGGUGAUAUGAACCGUUAUAACCGGCGAUUUCCGAAUGGGGAAACCCAGUGUGAUUCGUCACACUAUCAUUAACUGAAUCCAUAGGUUAAUGAGGCGAACCGGGGGAACUGAAACAUCUAAGUACCCCGAGGAAAAGAAAUCAACCGAGAUUCCCCCAGUAGCGGCGAGCGAACGGGGAGCAGCCCAGAGCCUGAAUCAGUGUGUGUGUUAGUGGAAGCGUCUGGAAAGGCGCGCGAUACAGGGUGACAGCCCCGUACACAAAAAUGCACAUACUGUGAGCUCGAUGAGUAGGGCGGGACACGUGGUAUCCUGUCUGAAUAUGGGGGGACCAUCCUCCAAGGCUAAAUACUCCUGACUGACCGAUAGUGAACCAGUACCGUGAGGGAAAGGCGAAAAGAACCCCGGCGAGGGGAGUGAAAAAGAACCUGAAACCGUGUACGUACAAGCAGUGGGAGCACGCUUAGGCGUGUGACUGCGUACCUUUUGUAUAAUGGGUCAGCGACUUAUAUUCUGUAGCAAGGUUAACCGAAUAGGGGAGCCGAAGGGAAACCGAGUCUUAACUGGGCGUUAAGUUGCAGGGUAUAGACCCGAAACCCGGUGAUCUAGCCAUGGGCAGGUUGAAGGUUGGGUAACACUAACUGGAGGACCGAACCGACUAAUGUUGAAAAAUUAGCGGAUGACUUGUGGCUGGGGGUGAAAGGCCAAUCAAACCGGGAGAUAGCUGGUUCUCCCCGAAAGCUAUUUAGGUAGCGCCUCGUGAAUUCAUCUCCGGGGGUAGAGCACUGUUUCGGCAAGGGGGUCAUCCCGACUUACCAACCCGAUGCAAACUGCGAAUACCGGAGAAUGUUAUCACGGGAGACACACGGCGGGUGCUAACGUCCGUCGUGAAGAGGGAAACAACCCAGACCGCCAGCUAAGGUCCCAAAGUCAUGGUUAAGUGGGAAACGAUGUGGGAAGGCCCAGACAGCCAGGAUGUUGGCUUAGAAGCAGCCAUCAUUUAAAGAAAGCGUAAUAGCUCACUGGUCGAGUCGGCCUGCGCGGAAGAUGUAACGGGGCUAAACCAUGCACCGAAGCUGCGGCAGCGACGCUUAUGCGUUGUUGGGUAGGGGAGCGUUCUGUAAGCCUGCGAAGGUGUGCUGUGAGGCAUGCUGGAGGUAUCAGAAGUGCGAAUGCUGACAUAAGUAACGAUAAAGCGGGUGAAAAGCCCGCUCGCCGGAAGACCAAGGGUUCCUGUCCAACGUUAAUCGGGGCAGGGUGAGUCGACCCCUAAGGCGAGGCCGAAAGGCGUAGUCGAUGGGAAACAGGUUAAUAUUCCUGUACUUGGUGUUACUGCGAAGGGGGGACGGAGAAGGCUAUGUUGGCCGGGCGACGGUUGUCCCGGUUUAAGCGUGUAGGCUGGUUUUCCAGGCAAAUCCGGAAAAUCAAGGCUGAGGCGUGAUGACGAGGCACUACGGUGCUGAAGCAACAAAUGCCCUGCUUCCAGGAAAAGCCUCUAAGCAUCAGGUAACAUCAAAUCGUACCCCAAACCGACACAGGUGGUCAGGUAGAGAAUACCAAGGCGCUUGAGAGAACUCGGGUGAAGGAACUAGGCAAAAUGGUGCCGUAACUUCGGGAGAAGGCACGCUGAUAUGUAGGUGAAGUCCCUCGCGGAUGGAGCUGAAAUCAGUCGAAGAUACCAGCUGGCUGCAACUGUUUAUUAAAAACACAGCACUGUGCAAACACGAAAGUGGACGUAUACGGUGUGACGCCUGCCCGGUGCCGGAAGGUUAAUUGAUGGGGUCAGCGCAAGCGAAGCUCUUGAUCGAAGCCCCGGUAAACGGCGGCCGUAACUAUAACGGUCCUAAGGUAGCGAAAUUCCUUGUCGGGUAAGUUCCGACCUGCACGAAUGGCGUAAUGAUGGCCAGGCUGUCUCCACCCGAGACUCAGUGAAAUUGAACUCGCUGUGAAGAUGCAGUGUACCCGCGGCAAGACGGAAAGACCCCGUGAACCUUUACUAUAGCUUGACACUGAACAUUGAGCCUUGAUGUGUAGGAUAGGUGGGAGGCUUGGAAGUGUGGACGCCAGUCUGCAUGGAGCCGACCUUGAAAUACCACCCUUUAAUGUUUGAUGUUCUAACGUUGACCCGUAAUCCGGGUUGCGGACAGUGUCUGGUGGGUAGUUUGACUGGGGCGGUCUCCUCCUAAAGAGUAACGGAGGAGCACGAAGGUUGGCUAAUCCUGGUCGGACAUCAGGAGGUUAGUGCAAUGGCAUAAGCCAGCUUGACUGCGAGCGUGACGGCGCGAGCAGGUGCGAAAGCAGGUCAUAGUGAUCCGGUGGUUCUGAAUGGAAGGGCCAUCGCUCAACGGAUAAAAGGUACUCCGGGGAUAACAGGCUGAUACCGCCCAAGAGUUCAUAUCGACGGCGGUGUUUGGCACCUCGAUGUCGGCUCAUCACAUCCUGGGGCUGAAGUAGGUCCCAAGGGUAUGGCUGUUCGCCAUUUAAAGUGGUACGCGAGCUGGGUUUAGAACGUCGUGAGACAGUUCGGUCCCUAUCUGCCGUGGGCGCUGGAGAACUGAGGGGGGCUGCUCCUAGUACGAGAGGACCGGAGUGGACGCAUCACUGGUGUUCGGGUUGUCAUGCCAAUGGCACUGCCCGGUAGCUAAAUGCGGAAGAGAUAAGUGCUGAAAGCAUCUAAGCACGAAACUUGCCCCGAGAUGAGUUCUCCCUGACUCCUUGAGAGUCCUGAAGGAACGUUGAAGACGACGACGUUGAUAGGCCGGAUGUGUAAGCGCAGCGAUGCGUUGAGCUAACCGGUACUAAUGAACCGUGAGGCUUAACCUUACAACGCCGAAGCUGUU
RNAcentral lists this ribosomal RNA (2930 nucleotides) under Escherichia coli. RNAcentral describes it as "bacterial LSU rRNA". It matches the Rfam family "Bacterial large subunit ribosomal RNA". The record is from RNAcentral. Lineage: Bacteria; Pseudomonadati; Pseudomonadota; Gammaproteobacteria; Enterobacterales; Enterobacteriaceae.